UGUAUUACCUGCUAGUUCUGGCAGUAUAACUCUCUCCACUAUAACAGGUUGAUGUAUUACCUGCUAGUUCUGGCAGUAUAACUCUCUCCACUAUAACAGGUUGAUGUAUUACCUGCUAGUUCUGGCAGUAUAACUCUCUCCACUAUAACAGACAGGUUGAUGUAUUACCUGCUAGUUUUGGCAGUAUAACUCUCUCCACUAUAACAGGUUGAUGUAUUACCUGCUAGUUGUGGCAGUAUAACUCUCUCCACUAUAACAGACAGGUUGAUGUAUUACCUGCUAGUUUUGGCAGUAUAACUCUCUCCACUAUAACAGGUUGAUG
Long non-coding RNA from Salvelinus fontinalis (brook trout), 322 nucleotides. RefSeq lists it as uncharacterized. The transcript has 3 exons. The record is from RefSeq and is a predicted model, not a curated record. NCBI's taxonomy places the organism in Eukaryota, Metazoa, Chordata, Actinopteri, Salmoniformes, Salmonidae.